AGUAACACGUAGGUAACCUGCCCAUGUGUCUGGGAUAACUGCUGGAAACGGUAGCUAAAACCGGAUAGGUAUACGGAGCGCAUGCUCGGUAUAUUAAAGCACCCUUCAAGGUGUGAACAUGGAUGGACCUGCGGCGCAUUAGCUAGUUGGUGAGGUAACGGCCCACCAAGGCGAUGAUGCGUAGCCGGCCUGAGAGGGUAAACGGCCACAUUGGGACUGAGACACGGCCCAA
Molecule: ribosomal RNA, 232 nt
Filed under: uncultured Bacillota bacterium
Lineage: Bacteria; Bacillati; Bacillota
Description: uncultured Firmicutes bacterium partial 16S ribosomal RNA
Rfam family: Bacterial small subunit ribosomal RNA
Source: RNAcentral